UUUCCCUCUAUAGGUUACUAGUUAACCUACCUAUGUUAUUUUCUUCUUUCCUAGUAGUUGCUCUGAUAACCUUGGGAUGAUUUAAGUGUUGUUGUUGUUAAUGUUGCGAGUUAAGAGCUUAUGACUCCACCUAUGAGUGUUGAAAAAGGUUUAUUUGGAAUGUUAUAUGAGGGAUUAAAUUCAUGAAAUUAUUUCGAUUUAUUAUGUUGGUUGAGGUGGUGGAUGUUUAUUUGGGGGAGCGGAUGGCUCCAGAAGAUGUGGAUUGAAUUGUUUUAGAAGUGUUUGGGUUUUGGUGAUUUUUCUUCCAGGUAGGGUUACUCAUUUUCAAGGGAAGUUAUGCCAAAAUUUUGGUAGAAUUUCCCUUGAGGUGGGUCCCGCAGGGUUUAUUCCGGAUUUCAAGGGGAAAUCCGGGGUAGGUCCUGACAAUCAAAGCCACCUAUUCCCUAGUUACCUACCCACAUAUGAAUCCUACAAAAAAUUAGCCAAAAUGAAAAACGUUUAACCAUUUGAUUAGCACAAUAUUCAUUUUAAUUUUAUCUAAUGGUAUACAAUUGUUUACGUCAAUUUGAAUGACCAAAUGAUUAUGGAAUUAGUUAAAAUUUGGUAGACAUGUUUCUUGCAUAUGAAUCUAGAUGAUCAACGGUUGAGGUCGUUAAAAGAAGUCAUCUACUAAUGUAAAAUAGUAGAAAUCCUCAAAUUCUUAAAGUAAUGAGGUCCUCUUUAUAUCCUCCAUAUAUAUAUAUACAUACAUACAGUCCUUCUCUACUACACACGUUCGCAUUUAUUUUUACGGUGCGGAUUUCCACUUUAGACUCACUUUUCAAUCGAAUUUUCAUAUCUUCACCGUCUAGUCUUUAGAUAUUAAUGUAUAGAUCAUCUCUACAAAAUUUCAGCCAAUUUGGUUAUCAUUAAGGCACUUAAAACUACGUUUUUCUGUUAUAAACAUGAACGGUUCAAGUUCGACAGAAUUAUGUUCAUCCAUUGGUUUUAUCGAGUUUGAGUGCCUUAAUGAUAACCAAAUUGGUUGAAAUUUUACAGAGAUGAUCCAUACAUUAGUAUCUAAAGACUAGACGGUGGA
RNAcentral lists this long non-coding RNA (1078 nucleotides) under Fragaria vesca (wild strawberry). Its description in RNAcentral is "long non-coding RNA (FVES_LNC004288)". The record is from RNAcentral. Lineage: Eukaryota; Viridiplantae; Streptophyta; Magnoliopsida; Rosales; Rosaceae.